GAUGAACGCUGGCGGCGUGCCUAAUACAUGCAAGUCGAGCGAACAGACGAGGAGCUUGCUCCUCUGACGUUAUCGGCGGACGGGUGAGUAACACGUGGAUAACCUACCUAUAAGACUGGGAUAACUUCGGGAAACCGGAGCUAAUACCGGAUAAUAUAUUGAACCGCAUGGUUCAAUAGUGAAAGACGGUUUUGCUGUCACUUAUAGAUGGAUCCGCGCCGCAUUAGCUAGUUGGUAAGGUAACGGCUUACCAAGGCAACGAUGCGUAGCCGACCUGAGAGGGUGAUCGGCCACACUGGAACUGAGACACGGUCCAGACUCCUACGGGAGGCAGCAGUAGGGAAUCUUCCGCAAUGGGCGAAAGCUUGACGGAGCAACGCCGCGUGAGUGAUGAAGGCCUUCGGAUCGUAAAACUCUGUUAUUAGGGAAGAACAAAUGUGUAAGUAACUAUGCACGUCUUGACGGUACCUAAUCAGAAAGCCACGGCUAACUACGUG
RNAcentral lists this ribosomal RNA (497 nucleotides) under uncultured bacterium. Its description in RNAcentral is "partial 16S ribosomal RNA". It matches the Rfam family "Bacterial small subunit ribosomal RNA", at positions 28 to 507 of the family's 1533-position model. The record is from RNAcentral.